Molecule: ribosomal RNA, 500 nt
Filed under: uncultured bacterium
Lineage: Bacteria
Description: partial 16S ribosomal RNA
Rfam family: Bacterial small subunit ribosomal RNA
Source: RNAcentral
AUUGAACGCUGGCGGCAUGCUUUACACAUGCAAGUCGAACGGUAACAGGGUGCUUGCACCGCUGACGAGUGGCGAACGGGUGAGUAAUGCGUCGGAACGUGCCGAGUAGUGGGGGAUAACGCAGCGAAAGUUGUGCUAAUACCGCAUACGUACUGAGGUAGGAAGUGGGGGACCUUCGGGCCUCACGCUAUUCGAGCGGCCGACGUCUGAUUAGCUAGUAGGUGAGGUAAAGGCUCACCUAGGCGACGAUCAGUAGCGGGUCUGAGAGGAUGAUCCGCCACACUGGGACUGAGACACGGACCAGACUCCUACGAGAGGCAGCAGUGGGGAAUUUUGGACAAUGGGCGAAAGCCUGAUCCAGCCAUGCCGCGUGUCUGAAGAAGGCCUUCGGGUUGUAAAGGACUUUUGUCAGGGAGGAAAUCCCUAGUGCUAAUAACACUGGGGGAUGACAGUACCUGAAGAAUAAGCACCGGCUAACUACGUGCCAGCCGCCGCCGUAA